AUUAGACAAGUUAAUUUAUGGAGAAACAAAUAUUAAUUCGAUGGAGAGAUGAUACUUGACAAUUAAUUAUUAAAUUGGAGUAAUUCAUUGAGAAGUAAACACAUGAUUUUAGUAGUACAUAGAAAUCAUUACUAACAUGAAGAUGUUACAGAUAGCAACUCUUAGGCUGAUGAAUCGGAAUUACCACCCAGGAGCUUAGUAGGCAGUUCAAUUAAAAAUUAUCAAAAACAAAUGCGUAAUUCAUCAAAACAUAUACAAAAAAUUAUGGACCUGUUACUUUUUUUCUAUUUGCAAAACACCAAACUACAGUAAACUAAAAUUAAAUACACAGAUACAUGUGAAGGAGCAUGCGUCGGAAAACAAUGACCCAGGGGGUAGCUCUAUGGAAUGCUAUGGAACUGAAUUUACCUAGGUACCAUAAAAAUAUUUAAGGAAAACAAAAACCCCACCUAUCAGCUGUUGUGAACAAUAAGAUAACAAAAGAUGCAAAACACGUGGUAUUUCAACAGAGGGUUGUCCGUCAAGGCUCGUGAAUAUUUUCAACCAUUCGUUCUCCAAACGUCGAACUGUUCAGUACCAAGAUGUUGAAAAAAAAAUUAAAAAUGUUCAAAAAAUUGAACCAUUCUCCAUCGAUAUACUUAAUCAUGAUUCACUGGCAAAAGUUUUGUCUUUUCUAUCAAUUCAAGACAUUAUUAACGCCGAAAAAGUUUGUGAGAAAUGGGCAGAGGCAAGUCAACUGGCUUUGUAUGACAUUCAUAGUGCAACUUGUGUUGGUAAAAAAAUAGAACCAAUAACAUCACGUGGCAAGUUCUUGACCAAAUUAAAAGUAACAAAUACAAAAUUUGAUUUAGACCUAUUAGAAACAAUAAAAAAUGAUUGUGUAAAUUUAAUUGAUCUUGAAUUAAAUUUUGAU
Aphidius gifuensis is the source of this 913-nucleotide long non-coding RNA. RefSeq lists it as uncharacterized. Lineage: Eukaryota; Metazoa; Arthropoda; Insecta; Hymenoptera; Braconidae. The transcript is spliced from 5 exons. The record is from RefSeq and is a predicted model, not a curated record.